This 222-nucleotide long non-coding RNA is filed under the name Panax ginseng (ginseng). RNAcentral's name for it is "long non-coding RNA (PGIN_LNC010153)". Lineage: Eukaryota; Viridiplantae; Streptophyta; Magnoliopsida; Apiales; Araliaceae. The record is from RNAcentral.
UCAUUUGAACCGUCCAAAAUUUGAGAUAAAUCUCACCGUCCAUACAAUGCCGGAGGCACAAAACACAGCUAGUAUUACUGUGGCGACCCCAAAUCCAGGUACUUGAAACCCGAACUCGGUUCUCCACGAUACCAUUUCUUUAAGCUGAAUAAUACUAAAUAAUAAUACAUUCGAACUUAAUUUACAUACAUCAAAGUUUACUUCCCCAGGUACGUGACCUUC